CCUAGUAACGGCGAGUGAAGCGGCAACAGCUCAAAUUUGAAAUCUGGCGUCUUUGGCGUCCGAGUUGUAAUUUGCAGAGGGCGCUUUGGCAUCGGCGGCGGUCCAAGUUCCUUGGAACAGGACGUCACAGAGGGUGAGAAUCCCGUACGUGAUCGCUAGCCUUUACCGUGUAAAGCCCCUUCGACGAGUCGAGUUGUUUGGGAAUGCAGCUCUAAAUGGGAGGUAAAUUUCUUCUAAAGCUAAAUACUGGCCAGAGACCGAUAGCGCACAAGUAGAGUGAUCGAAAGAUGAAAAGCACUUUGGAAAGAGAGUUAAAAAGCACGUGAAAUUGUUGAAAGGGAAGCGCUUGCAGCCAGACUUGCCUGUAGUUGCUCAUCCGGGUUUUUACCCGGUGCACUCUUCUAUAGGCAGGCCAGCAUCAGUUUGGGCGGUUGGAUAAAGGUCUCUGUCAUGUACCUCUCUUCGGGGAGAACUUAUAGGGGAGACGACAUGCAACCAGCCUGGACUGAGGUCCGCGCAUCUGCUAGGAUGCUGGCGUAAUGGCUGUAAGCGGCCCGUCUUGAAACACGGACCAAGGAGUCUAACAUCUAUGCGAGUGUUUGGGUGUCAAGCCCGAACGCGUAAUGAAAGUGAACGGAGGUGGGAACCUUUCGGGGUGCACCAUCGACCGAUCCUGAUGUCUUCGGAUGGAUUUGAGUAAGAGCAUAGCUGUUGGGACCCGAAAGAUGGUGAACUAUGCUUGAAUAGGGUGAAGCCAGAGGAAACUCUGGUGGAGGCUCGCAGCGGUUCUGACGUGCAAAUCGAUCGUCAAAUU
RNAcentral lists this ribosomal RNA (814 nucleotides) under Neodidymelliopsis xanthina. RNAcentral describes it as "LSU rRNA". It matches the Rfam family "Eukaryotic large subunit ribosomal RNA", at positions 79 to 911 of the family's 3401-position model. Lineage: Eukaryota; Fungi; Ascomycota; Dothideomycetes; Pleosporales; Didymellaceae. The record is from RNAcentral.